RNAcentral lists this ribosomal RNA (461 nucleotides) under uncultured Sphingobacteriales bacterium. Its description in RNAcentral is "bacterial SSU rRNA". It matches the Rfam family "Bacterial small subunit ribosomal RNA", at positions 920 to 1382 of the family's 1533-position model. Lineage: Bacteria; Pseudomonadati; Bacteroidota; Sphingobacteriia; Sphingobacteriales. The record is from RNAcentral.
CCCGCACAAGCGGUGGAGCAUGUGGUUUAAUUCGAUGAUACGCGAGGAACCUUACCUGGGCUCAAAUGUAUGUUUGACGUAUUCUGAAAGGGAUACUUCUUCGGACAAUAUACAAGGUGCUGCAUGGUUGUCGUCAGCUCGUGCCGUGAGGUGUCGGGUUAAGUCCCAUAACGAGCGCAACCCCUAUCAUUAGUUGCCAUCAGGUCAAGCUGGGGACUCUAAUGAAACUGCCUACGCAAGUAGUGAGGAAGGUGGGGAUGACGUCAAAUCAGCACGGCCCUUACGUCCAGGGCUACACACGUGCUACAAUGGCCGGUACAAAGGGCAGCUACCUGGUGACAGGAUGCAAAUCUCCAAAGUCGGUCUCAGUUCGGAUCGGAGUCUGCAACCCGACUCCGUGAAGUUGGAUUCGCUAGUAAUCGCGCAUCAGCCAUGGCGCGGUGAAUACGUUCCCGGGCCUU